RNAcentral lists this ribosomal RNA (486 nucleotides) under uncultured bacterium. RNAcentral's name for it is "partial 16S ribosomal RNA". It matches the Rfam family "Bacterial small subunit ribosomal RNA", at positions 355 to 852 of the family's 1533-position model. The record is from RNAcentral.
UGGGGAAUAUUGCACAAUGGGCGAAAGCCUGAUGCAGCGACGCCGCGUGAGGGAUGACGGCCUUCGGGUUGUAAACCUCUUUCAGCAGGGAAGAAGCGAAAGUGACGGUACCUGCAGAAGAAGCGCCGGCUAACUACGUGCCAGCAGCCGCGGUAAUACGUAGGGCGCAAGCGUUGUCCGGAAUUAUUGGGCGUAAAGAGCUCGUAGGCGGUUAGUCGCGUCUGCUGUGAAAACUCGAGGCUCAACCUCGGGCUUGCAGUGGGUACGGGCUGACUAGAGUGCGGUAGGGGUGACUGGAAUUCCUGGUGUAGCGGUGGAAUGCGCAGAUAUCAGGAGGAACACCGAUGGCGAAGGCAGGUCACUGGGCCGCAACUGACGCUGAGGAGCGAAAGCAUGGGGAGCGAACAGGAUUAGAUACCCUGGUAGUCCAUGCCGUAACGUUGGGCACUAGGUGUGGGGUCCAUUCCACGGAUUCCGUGCCGCAGC